CCCAUUGUAGCCAAUAAACUGCAUCAAGAAAAUAAUCUAGACAAAAAAUAUUGCAACAAUCGUAGUAUUUUAUUUUAAAUGAUUUAAAUGUUACAAUCUUUGUGAUUCCUCUGAUUCUUCUUUUCUGAUAUAAAUUCAAGGGCUAUUGAGCUUGAUCUUGAAUUUAGGCUUGUUUCCACGUAUGAUGAUCUUGAAUUCAGCUAGCACAAACUUUGAUUUGAACUCGUACUCCUUGUACCUUGAUGUGUUCUUUGUUCUUGAGUUUGAACUUGAUUUCUUUAACUUGAACUUGAUUGCUUGAAGCUUGUAGAGAAGUUUGCGGCGUUUGAUCCACGGGCUCUUUCUUGCUUCUUGUUAUGACUUCUGGUGUCUUUUUUGAGUUAUGAAGACCACUAUUUAUAGUUGUGGAAGAGAAGAGUUGUCAUGAGAACAAACUCUUUCCGACCAAUCAGAUUGAAGCAUGACAAGACAUUAUUUGAUUGGCCAAAACAUAUCACUUGCACAUGUGGUGCAAUUUCAUUGCCCUUUUAAUUUGACUUGGCAUGCCUUAUAUCAUUUUUGACAUGUGUCAUGAUCCUAUUGGCUCUUUCGUUUGACUUGGUAUGCCAAAUCAUUUGACAUGUGGCACCAAACUGGACCUCUAGGAAGAUGACAUCUUGGGCUUAAUGAAGUGGAUUUAUCACUUGAAGCCCAAUUAAAUGGGCUAGCCAAUGGAUUUGGACUUAUUUAUUAAUUCAUAUAUAUUGGACUUAUAUAACUAAUCUAAUUAUAUUAGCGUAAUAAAUUUAUUUGAACUAAUAUAUUUUGAAUUUAAAAUAUUGUCCAAAUUAUUUUAUUAAUUUAAUUGCAAUAAAAUUUACAUGCCUACGCCCAAAUAUUUCAAUUAAAUAUCCAGAAUUCUUCCUUUGCUGUAAAAAAAAGGUCGUAAUAUGCCAUGUAGUCACGUACAUGAGUAGAGCUAGAAGACUGAGUACAAAUUCAAUUGAACUCAAUAAGUUUUGUUCAAAUAAAAUAUUUGUGUUAAAAAUUUAUUAAAUAUAAAUAAAUUGUAAAUUUAGAAUUCACUUAUUAAUACUUAAAGUCGUCAUUCUAUAAUUCAAAACCUAUAAAGUUAAAAUUCUAACUCUACCUCCGAUCACGUAUCGGAACGCUUGAUUGAAGAUGCCAUGUCGAUCUUCCUAAUAAUGAAAUUAGUUUAAAGGAAACUUUAAUUGUUUUUCUUUAUCCUAUUUUAUCCUCAUUAAUGUUCAUGGGGUUUCUUUUAUGAUUUUGCACGGAAAUAAAGAAAUUAGAUGCAAAUAGAAAAAACUAUUUAAAAAAAGUUCAUAUGAUAAAAGAGGGCACAUGUUGGGAGAGACAAUUAAGUACUUUUUUUAUCUUAGAAUUAAACCAUGCUAUAAUCUCUCUCUCUAUAUAUAUAUACGGUCAUGGGCCAAUGUGCAUAUAUAACUGAAUGUAAUGCAUAAAAAGUAAGUUAAUAAGAUUUCUCGAUAUGUCAUAAGAUCAUUACGCCUUUAAUUAAUAUCAUAAAAUAAACUUUAUCAACUUACGUAUUUUCUGAGACCCAUAAACAGACGAUUGAAUAAUAGGACAUAUGGUGAAUCAAGAAUAUAGUAACCCCUAGUACUUUUAAGAAUAGAGUCAAUUGUGAAAGUUGCGUGUUUGCUCGUUUUAUGUGUAUCAUAUGGAUCAUGAAAGAAGGGAUAGUCUUAACAUACCUGAGUCGAUUCUCUUAACAAUCUCUCUAACCCACGUCUUUUGCGAAAAACACAUAACGACGGAUCGAAGUAGAAAAGAAUCCGUAUGAUAUUCUUGAAAAAGAUUGUACCGUGCUCUUUUAGAAUUGUAUCUCACGUUGUUGUUACGUUAUGAAAUCUCGUAUGAAUUUUUGAUGAAGCUUUCCUCCAUUACUUAGCA
Molecule: long non-coding RNA, 1917 nt
Filed under: Nicotiana tabacum (common tobacco)
Lineage: Eukaryota; Viridiplantae; Streptophyta; Magnoliopsida; Solanales; Solanaceae
Description: long non-coding RNA (NTAB_LNC010006)
Source: RNAcentral